RNAcentral lists this ribosomal RNA (462 nucleotides) under uncultured bacterium. RNAcentral describes it as "partial 16S ribosomal RNA". It matches the Rfam family "Bacterial small subunit ribosomal RNA", at positions 28 to 507 of the family's 1533-position model. The record is from RNAcentral.
GACGAACGCUGGCGGCGUGCUUAACACAUGCAAGUCGAACGGUGAAGCCCUUCGGGGUGGAUCAGUGGCGAACGGGUGAGUAACACGUGAGCAGCCUGCCCCUGGCUCUGGGACAACCACUGGAAACGGUGGCUAAUACCGGAUACGACCCGCCUCGGCAUCGAGUGUGGGUGGAAAGUUUUUCGGCUGGGGAUGGGCUCGCGGCCUAUCAGCUUGUUGGUGAGGUGAAGGCUCACCAAGGCGACGACGGGUAGCCGGCCUGAGAGGGCGACCGGCCACACUGGGACUGAGACACGGCCCAGACUCCUACGGGAGGCAGCAGUGGGGAAUAUUGCACAAUGGGCGAAAGCCUGAUGCAGCGACGCCGCGUGAGGGAUGACGGCCUUCGGGUUGUAAACCUCUUUCAGCUCCGAAGAAGCGAAAGUGACGGUAGGAGCAGAAGAAGCACCGGCUAACUACGUG